GUGUCAGCCGCCGCGGUAAUACGAAAGGGGCUAGCGUUGUUCGGAAUUACUGGGCGUAAAGCGCACGUAGGCGGCCUUGUAAGUUGGGGGUGAAAUCCCGGGGCUCAACCCCGGAACUGCCUCCAAAACUACAAAGCUAGAGGCUGUGAGAGGAGAGUGGAAUUCCGAGUGUAGAGGUGAAAUUCGUAGAUAUUCGGAAGAACACCAGUGGCGAAGGCGACUCUCUGGCGCAGUUCUGACGCUGAGGCGCGAAAGCGUGGGGAGCAAACAGGAUUAGAUACCCUGGUAGUCCACGCCGUAAACGAUGAGGGCUAGUUGUCGGGCGGCUUGCCGUUCGGUGACGCAGCUAACGCAUUAAGCCCUCCGCCUGGGGAGUACGGUCGCAAGAUUAAAACUCAAAUGAAUUGACGGGG
RNAcentral lists this ribosomal RNA (413 nucleotides) under uncultured prokaryote. RNAcentral describes it as "bacterial SSU rRNA". It matches the Rfam family "Bacterial small subunit ribosomal RNA", at positions 505 to 918 of the family's 1533-position model. The record is from RNAcentral.